RNAcentral lists this ribosomal RNA (494 nucleotides) under Corbicula leana. Its description in RNAcentral is "partial 16S ribosomal RNA". It matches the Rfam family "Bacterial large subunit ribosomal RNA", at positions 1808 to 2609 of the family's 2925-position model. The record is from RNAcentral. Lineage: Eukaryota; Metazoa; Mollusca; Bivalvia; Venerida; Cyrenidae.
CAAAAACAUGGCCUUUUGGAGAUUUAUAUAAAAGGUUGGGCCUGCCCGGUGAUCUGAAAUGGUUUAACGGCUGCGAUUGAAACCGUACUAAGGUAGCAUAAUAAUUUGCCCUUUAAUUGGGGGAGAGAAUGAAUGGUUUGACGGUAAAAAAGCUGUUUUAAAAAUAAAAAAAGAAGUUAACUUUUAAGUGAAAAGGCUUAAGUUUUUAUAAAAGACGAGAAGACCCCGUCGAGCUUAAUUAGAAUAACUUAAAUGUAGGUUAUUUAAAAUUUUAUUGGGGCAAUAGAAAAUGAAAUGAAUCAUUUUUUUUAUUAUAAGGAUCCAGUUUUGACUGAAAAAAGCAAAAGCUACCGCGGGGAUAACAGGGUAAUUUUUUCUGAGAGUUCAUAUUUAAGAAGAAGUUUGCUACCUCGAUGUUGGAUUAGAAUUUCUUUAUGCUUGCAGCAGGUAUAAUAGUAGGACUGUUCGUCCUUUAAAAUUUUACGUGAUCUGAG